CAUCACGCUCAAGCUAAAAACAUGAACGACAACAUGUUCAGAGAAUUACCUUUUAUAAAUGAAGAAGUGUGUACAGUUUGUAGCUCUCACCUGAAUCGCUUCAGCAUACAAUACAAGUUUGCCAAAAAACGUUAGGCUUGACGUGUAACAAGUUUGGCAAACUGUGGUACAGUGUCACUGUAGGGAAUAUCUACACACGUGCCAGUAUAACCUUCGAAGCACCAACCAUGAAAA
Xenia sp. Carnegie-2017 is the source of this 234-nucleotide long non-coding RNA. RefSeq lists it as uncharacterized. The transcript has 2 exons. The record is from RefSeq and is a predicted model, not a curated record. NCBI's taxonomy places the organism in Eukaryota, Metazoa, Cnidaria, Anthozoa, Malacalcyonacea, Xeniidae.